CAAAAUAAAUAUGUUUUCUCUCAUAUAAUGAUGGGAAUAUGGCCCAUAAGUCUCUACCCAAUGACCGUAAAUCAUUGGACUAUGAGAGAAAGUAGUUCAAAA
Molecule: non-coding RNA, 102 nt
Filed under: Caldibacillus thermoamylovorans
Lineage: Bacteria; Bacillati; Bacillota; Bacilli; Caryophanales; Bacillaceae
Description: Bacillus thermoamylovorans Guanine sequence
Rfam family: Purine riboswitch aptamer
About the family: Riboswitches are metabolite binding domains within certain messenger RNAs that serve as precision sensors for their corresponding targets. Allosteric rearrangement of mRNA structure is mediated by ligand binding, and this results in modulation of gene expression. A class of riboswitches that selectively recognises guanine and becomes saturated at concentrations as low as 5 nM.
Source: Rfam by way of RNAcentral